Small nuclear RNA from Chlorocebus sabaeus (green monkey), 103 nucleotides. The record is from Ensembl. Lineage: Eukaryota; Metazoa; Chordata; Mammalia; Primates; Cercopithecidae.
AUGCUUGCUUCAGCAGUACAUACACUAAAAUUGGAAUUAUACAGAGAUUAGCAUAGCCCCUGCAUGAGGAUGACACAGAAUUCAUGAAGUGUUUCAUCUUUUU